Molecule: non-coding RNA, 21 nt
Filed under: Caenorhabditis elegans
Lineage: Eukaryota; Metazoa; Nematoda; Chromadorea; Rhabditida; Rhabditidae
Source: RNAcentral
UAUGUGGGUAAAUCCAGCACU